UACGAAGGGGGCUAGCGUUGCUCGGAAUUACUGGGCGUAAAGCGCACGUAGGCGGAUCUUUAAGUCAGGGGUGAAAUCCUGGAGCUCAACUCCAGAACUGCCUUUGAUACUGAGGACCUUGAGUUCGGGAGAGGUGAGUGGAACUGCGAGUGUAGAGGUGAAAUUCGUAGAUAUUCGCAAGAACACCAGUGACGAAGGCGGCUCACUGGCCCGAUACUGACGCUGAGGUGCGAAAGCGUGGGGAGCAAACAGG
RNAcentral lists this ribosomal RNA (253 nucleotides) under uncultured bacterium. Its description in RNAcentral is "partial 16S ribosomal RNA". It matches the Rfam family "Bacterial small subunit ribosomal RNA", at positions 524 to 776 of the family's 1533-position model. The record is from RNAcentral.